Long non-coding RNA from Brassica napus (rape), 2502 nucleotides. RefSeq lists it as uncharacterized. NCBI's taxonomy places the organism in Eukaryota, Viridiplantae, Streptophyta, Magnoliopsida, Brassicales, Brassicaceae. The transcript is spliced from 4 exons. The record is from RefSeq and is a predicted model, not a curated record.
UAAACGUUGCUAGCAGCCCAUCCUAUCUGUGGACUAGCAUUUUUGCUGCAAAGAAAUUGCUAUUACUGGGAAUUAGACAGAAGAUACAUUCAGGUUAUGAAAUUAAGGUAUGGGAGGAUCCAUGGAUUCCACGAACCCCGCGAGGCCAGCUGUCCCCAUAGCACCAGUGAUGCAUCCUAAUAUGAGAGUAAGCGAUCUUAUUGAUCAGGGAUCAAAGGAUUGGGAUGUGGGACUUUUGGAGAACUAUGUUCAUCCUGAGGAUAUACCAUUCAUAAGGAGUUUGGCCAUAAGCUCAACUCAUCGUCGUGAUACUUUCUGCUAGAACUUUACAAGGAAUGACCAAUACACGGUCAAAUCUGGAUAUUGGGUGGCCCAGAAUUUAUUAAAGGUAACGGAGGAAAAUGAAGUUUUGGAGCCAAGUAUUACAAAGCUACAAGCUUUUGCGUGGAAAUUGAAGGCUCCUACGAAGAUAUGUCAUCUUAUAUGGCAGUUGUUAACUGGUCAUGUGGCAGUAACGAGGAACUUAGUUAGACGUAAUAUGAGGUGUGACAAUUAUUGCCCAAGAUGUGGAGAAGUGGAGGAGACCGUCACACAUGCAAUUUUUGAAUGCCCACCAGCUCUUCAAGUGUGGUCUUUAUCAUCAACUCUGACAUGCCCAAAUAUUUUCCCGGUUUCUAGCGUCUACACAAAUAUGGAUUAUCUAUUCAGGAGGAAGAAUGGUAUCAUUGGGCCAGAGCAAGAUAGGGAUCCUUAUCCCUGGAUGAUAUGGUACAUUUGGAAGGGUAGGAAUGAAAAACUCUUCAGGGGAAUAGAUAGAGAUCCUUUGGAACUAGUUAGACAUGCAGAGAGUGAAUGCCAAGCCUGGUUUGAUGCUAAUGAAGUGGCACAAGCAGUGGCACAAGAUAAUAUAAAUGAGGAACCCCAAGUCGUAAGCUUGGGAAACAUUUGCUUGUUAGAUGGAUCUUGGACAUCUUCUGCUAACUUUAGUGGAAGCGGAUGGGCAUGGAUGGAUAGUUCUGGGAACACUCAACUUAUGGGGACAAGAAACUUCCCCCGACGCGAAUCAGCCUUGCACUCGGAAGUAGAAGCAAUGCGGUGGGCGAUGGAGAAUAUGCUGCAACAUUCGACCUGCCAGAGCUUUGGGACAGACUGUAAGGAACUAAUUGCAAUGGUAAAGGACCCUCAGGCGUGGCCAAGCUUUUCGACGGAAUUGGAGAGGAUAGAGACGCUACAGAUAUGCUUCCCAGAAUUCAACAUCACUCACGUUCCACGGGCGUACAAUCAGAUUGCUGAUUUUUUGGCUAAGACUGCUAGAUCUUUCCAUAGGGAGUUACAUUUUGUUGGUUGUUCUAUUCCGGUUUGGUUACCCAGACCACCUCAAGUUUGAGUAAUAGAAUGAUCUUUUGACGUCAAAAAAAAAGAAAAAAAAAAAAAAAAAAAACAACGAAAGCAAACGAAAGAAGUGUCACUAUUCAUAAGGCCGCGUGUACGACCUGGACAUUUUGACCUAUUGACCCUUCGGUAACGUAAGAACAGAGCCGGCUGAAUUUUUUUUUAACAAAUUUGAAAAGAAUUUUAAUAGCUUGGAGGCUGAAAUGUGUUGUUUACAAAUUUGAAAACUUAUUUAUAUUUAAAUUUUUUCAAAAAUUUUGGGAGUUUGAGACGAAUGCUCAUCCAACUUUGCCCACCCUUAGUAAGAAUCUCUCAAGCAUCGUGUUCUUGGAAAAGUUGUUUCGACAUCACAUCAAAACGAAACUGAAAUUGAAAUCAAAACUAAGAUCCAAGUAAGUUUCUUUUAUACAUUUCAAAUGUGUUGUUUUAUUUUAUUUUUUUUGUCACUCAAUUGCUUUUUAAUCAUAUGACAACAUAAAUGAAACGUACUAUUUAGAUUCUGGUUUCAUGUAAUUAUCAAAAAGAUUGGAAAAACUUUAAAUGAUUAAAAAUCGAAUUAUCAAUACAAUUAAAACAGAAAACUCUUUUUUUAAGGUGCCUUUCUGUUUCAACAAUAUUUAUAAGACUCUGACACUGAAAUAUUUAAAACCUAUUGUUUUUACUUAAUUCUGUAUUUUCCAAUUUUACUUUUAAUUAACCAUAUUCGUUUUUGAUUGAGAUCUUCAUGGGUUGGGUGCGAUUCGGAUGGUUUGGUAAAAGGGGCUUCACUUUUUGUGGUUUUCGAAUGGUUGUGACUCGAGAUUUCGAGCUCCAGUAUAUAGAAACAAAGGAGGUUCCGAAGAUCCGUGGGAUUGAUAUGGAUUGUGGUAUCACUACUGCAUGUUUUGUCAAGAUUCAUGGAAUCUCCGAUGUUAAAGAGAUGGAGUACUGUAAAGGAAGAGUUUUUUUCUGGGACAAGAGAAACAAAAUCAAAGGAAAUAUGAGGAAGAGGAGUUACCUUCGAAUUAAUACAGAGAUAUAGAGUUUAUCUCUCUGGUUUACGUGGGGUUAAGGAGUUUUAUGCCAACUGACACAAUUUGGCCAAUCGAAGUGGCUGGUGAUUUGGACAAG